RNAcentral lists this ribosomal RNA (438 nucleotides) under uncultured bacterium. Its description in RNAcentral is "bacterial SSU rRNA". It matches the Rfam family "Bacterial small subunit ribosomal RNA", at positions 30 to 507 of the family's 1533-position model. The record is from RNAcentral.
CGAACGCUGGCGGCAUGCUUAACACAUGCAAGUCGCACGGUUGGGGGCAACCCUGGCAGUGGCGGACGGGUGAGUAACGCGUAGGAAUCUAUCCUUGGGUGGGGGACAACCGUGGGAAACUACGGCUAAUACCGCAUGAUCCCUGAGGGGCAAAGGCGAGAGUCGCCUGAGGAGGAGCCUGCGUCUGAUUAGGUAGUUGGUGGGGUAAAGGCCUACCCAAGCCUACGAUCAGUAGCUGGUCUGAGAGGAUGAUCAGCCACAUUGGGACUGAGACACGGCCCAAACUCCUACGGGAGGCAGCAGUGGGGAAUAUUGGACAAUGGGCGCAAGCCUGAUCCAGCAAUGCCGCGUGGGUGAAGAAGGUCUUCGGAUUGUAAAGCCCUUUUGGCGGGGACGAUGAUGACGGUACCCGCAGAAUAAGCUCCGGCUAACUUCGUG